AAACACGGACCAAGGAGUUUAGCGUGUGCGCGAGUCAUUGAGUGGCAAAACUCAAAGGCGAAAUGAAAGUGAAGGGAACUUUACGUUUCUGAGGGAAGAUGAGACGGUUUCUUUUCCAAGAGCCUCUCCGCACUCCCGGGGCGUCUCUAUCUCAUUGCGAGAGGAGGCGCACCUAUAGCGUACACGCUGAUACCCGAAAGAUGGUGAACUAUGCCUGGCCAGGACGAAGCCAGGGGAAACCCUGGUGGAGGUCCGCAGCGAUUCUGACGUGCAAAUCGAUCGUCGGAGCUGGGUUUAGGGGCGAAAGACCAAUCGAACCAUCUAGUAGCUGGUUCCCUCUGAAGUUUCCCUCAGGAUAGCUUGCGCUCGGACGAGACGAGUCUCAUCCGGUAGAGCGAAUGAUUAGAGGCCUUGGGGUCGAAACGACCUCAACCUAUUCUCAAACUCCAAAUAGAUGAGAACCCUGGCUUUCUUAAACUAUGAAGCCAAGGGGUUUCGGAUCAGAGUGCCAAGUGGGCCAAUUUUGGUAAGCAGAACUG
Molecule: ribosomal RNA, 539 nt
Filed under: Heterotoma meriopterum
Lineage: Eukaryota; Metazoa; Arthropoda; Insecta; Hemiptera; Miridae
Description: eukaryotic LSU rRNA
Rfam family: Eukaryotic large subunit ribosomal RNA
Source: RNAcentral